ACGGGUAGAGUAAUGUCGUAGGAACUGCCUGAUGGAGGGGAUAACUACUGGAAACGGUAGCUAAAUACCGCAUAACGUCGCAAGACCAAAGAGGGGGACCUUCGGGCCUUCUUGCCAUCGGAUGUGCCCAGAUGGGAUUAGCUAGUAGGUGGGGUAACGGCUCACCUAGGCGACGAUCCCUAGCUGGUCUGAGAGGAUGACCAGCCACACUGGAACUGAGACACGGUCCAGACUCCUACGGGAGGCAGCAGUGGGGAAUAUUACACAAUGGGCGCAAGCCUGAUGCAGCCAUGCCGCGUGUAUGAAGAAGGCCUUCGGUUGUAAAGUACUUUCAGCGGGAGGAAGGGAGUAAAGUUAAUACCUUUGCUCAUUGACGUUACCCGCAGAAGAAGCACCGGCUAACUCCGUG
Molecule: ribosomal RNA, 409 nt
Filed under: uncultured bacterium
Lineage: Bacteria
Description: bacterial SSU rRNA
Rfam family: Bacterial small subunit ribosomal RNA
Source: RNAcentral